GAUGAACGCUGGCGGCGUGCCUAAUACAUGCAAGUCGAGCGAACGGACGAGAAGCUUGCUUCUCUGAUGUUAGCGGCGGACGGGUGAGUAACACGUGGAUAACCUACCUAUAAGACUGGGAUAUCUUCGGGAAACCGGAGCUAAUACCGGAUAAUAUUUUGAACCGCAUGGUUCAAAAGUGAAAGACGGUCUUGCUGUCACUUAUAGAUGGAUCCGCGCUGCAUUAGCUAGUUGGUAAGGUAACGGCUUACCAAGGCAACGAUGCAUAGCCGAACUGAGAGGGUGAUCGGCCAAACUGGAACGGAGACACGGUCCAGACGCCUACGGGAGGCAGCAGAAGGGAAUAUUGCGCAAUGGGCGAAAGCCUGACGGAGCAACGCCGCGUGAGUGAUGAAGGUCUUCGGAUCGUAAAACUCUGUUAUUAGGGAAGAACAUAUGUGUAAGUAACUGUGCACAUCUUGACGGUACCUAAUCAGAAAGCCACGGCUAACUACGUG
This 497-nucleotide ribosomal RNA is filed under the name uncultured bacterium. Its description in RNAcentral is "partial 16S ribosomal RNA". It matches the Rfam family "Bacterial small subunit ribosomal RNA", at positions 28 to 507 of the family's 1533-position model. The record is from RNAcentral.